AGGAAUAAUUACAAUUACAUGUCAUCACUAGUAUUCGUAAACGUCAGGGUUGUGUUCAACUUCGAUUCACAGGCUAUGCUCCGAUGCAACGUCAAAGGUGUGUCACGAGUUUUUAAUUAGUGAGUUUUUAGCAAUUGUGUUAAUAGCAAUACGUUCUUUCACUGGACUUAUAAAACUAGAAGGUAUUUUAAUUGAUCCAACCCAUUGCGAGCUGUCAUCAAUUCUCUCCUAUUCUUCCAAUUUCCUCAUGAACUAUUUAAUCACCUUAGCUGCCAACAAACAGUGUCAUCAAUCACCUGGGAAAUUCGG
RNAcentral lists this unclassified non-coding RNA (309 nucleotides) under Athalia rosae (coleseed sawfly). RNAcentral describes it as "misc RNA ENSAEAG00005006373.1". The record is from RNAcentral. Lineage: Eukaryota; Metazoa; Arthropoda; Insecta; Hymenoptera; Athaliidae.